UGUCUCUCUCUCCCUCCCUCCCUCCCUCCCUCUCUUUCCCUCUCCCCACAAAUCUUCCUGGCCCCUUUCCCAGUUUUGGCUCCGGGCAGUGAGAAAUUAACACUGAUUGAGUUCAGGCAACAACAAGUCGGAGGUUUUUCCCCCGAAUAAGUAAUCAGUGACCGCUCUGAAUCACCGACGACAGCACAACCACCAUUUCACUUUCAGGACGUGGGGGACGUGCGGUCUCCGUCGGCCAGCCCCGAGUGCGCGUCCGUUGGUCCCGUAACUCACUCUCCCCCGAAGUCCCCGCGGGACUCUCCCGGGCGGCGCAGCGCGGCGGGUCAGCGCCCCGGGCCCCAGUUCCGGAGCCGGCCCCCGCUUCCAGCCGUCCGGGCCGAGCCCCCCGGGCGCGCGCCCUCCCCGCCCCCCCCCCGGACCCCGGGCCGUGCAGCCGCGCCCCUCCCCGCUUCUUGGGGCUCCCCAGCCGAGGGUUUGGCCGCAGGCAGGGCUGGGAGGAGCCCGAGGAGGCCGCCAAGUUUUGCCCGGAGCAGCUUCCCCGGGAGGCUCAGAAGUGCCGAGUCAGCGCCGGCCGCCGCCGUUCCCAUUUCUGCAGCAGGAGCCCGAGGGACAGCCCCCACCCCUUCCCCGCUUCCUCCUCCCCCUCCCUCUCUCCUCCUCCCCUCAGCCGCCUUUAAUCCCAGCCUCCCACCCCGACGCCGAGCAGUCCGGAGCGCUGAACUCCCGGGCCCAACGACACCCCUCUGACACCCCUCGGACACCCCUCGGACCCCCCUCGGACACCCCGGGCCGCUCCUGCGGAGGCGAGCUCCUGUCCGGGAGCCGGGGCCAGGUGGGGAGCGCAGGUGAGAGCGAGGAGCGGCACCUCCGCGCCCGGCGCCCGCCCCCAGACUCCGAAGGACGCCAGGUUCCUGGGGGACCCCGUCUCCCCGAGCGGCCGAGCAGAUCCUGACUGAGCCCCCAGCUAAGCUGCCCCCUGCCUUGGAAGGAUGGAAGCCCAGGAGAGUGCUGUCCAGUACAGCCGAUGGAGCAACAGCCAGGAUGAGGUCAGCAUGAAUGUGUCCGCCUCGGAGAGCUCGGGCUGUGAGCGGAUCUACACCAAGCUUUGCACUGGGAAGCUGGGCAUUGCCCUGAAGUUGGUAGGCGGAAUCAUUCUGUUCUGGGUCAUCUUCAUCAUCGGCUAUGUCACCGGCUACUACAUCCACAAGUGCAAGUAGCCCUCGUCUGAGCUGCCGGACAACUUUGCAAGCCCUCCGACCGCCCAGAGACCUCUUGCUUCCUGGCUCAGACCACCGGGACAGACUGGCCCCUGGGGGCACAGCCACCUAUAGAUAUAGACACCCACACCCACACAUAUACAUACAGGGACAGAUCUAUGGACAAAUACUGAGGCCCUUUUCAGAGAAAGAGAAACACAUUCCUAGUGUGGAAGGCACACACUGAAACAGACACUGGACAGGGGAGGAGACGCACAGACACUAACACGGAGACCCUCACCCACAUCUCUCUCCCGCCCCGGCCCAGGAUAGAACUCCAGACCAAGCCAGUCACAUCCCAUCCUUGCCCUGCCGCAUCCCACCCCAGGGGGAGGCUCACAUUCAGUUACCGAAGCCCAGGACUGUAUCCCCUACUCAUCCCUUCUUCCUCGCCGACCAGACGACCGCUUCUUUUGGACCUAUGACUGCCCUAAACAGCCAGAGGUCUGAGGAAGAUGGGAGGAGCCAGAGCCCAGUUUUCUCCCUCAGAAACCCCUCUGCCAUUCUGGUUUAUGUUCAGAACAGGAGUCAGACCCAGGAUUUCUACCCAUCCUUGUCCCAGGGAAUUCUAUCCCCUGGCCUGCCCUGAAGGAAGAAAAUCCCAGUGAAAAUGAGUUGGGGGUCUGAUCUCUCUGAUGGCCCCUAGUCGCAGGUGCACAAAGAUUUUCAGAGCCAGGAGAAGCCGUCUCCAUCCUGAGGAGCCUUCCCUCCUGAUCCAUGAUCUUACCCACAAGGCAGAGGCUGAGCCACGGAGGACUGGGGCGUUCCGGGGUUGGCCCAUCCCUCUAACCCACUCCCCCAAUCUUCUCGUGCCUUUCCAGAGAAAGGCCUUGGACUGGAAGGAUUCUUUCUUAAUAAACACCCACUUGUGUGACCUCAAGC
Sarcophilus harrisii (Tasmanian devil) is the source of this 2138-nucleotide long non-coding RNA. NCBI's taxonomy places the organism in Eukaryota, Metazoa, Chordata, Mammalia, Dasyuromorphia, Dasyuridae. The record is from Ensembl.